UAGUUUACCGAGUCGUGCAGGAUGAAGAACGGAGAGGUUCGAGCAUCGCGCAGCGAUACGACAACGCGCAGCGUUGCCCGCAGGGUGAGGCCACUGGCCGAAUCAAUCCUGCACGACCCACCC
This 123-nucleotide small RNA is filed under the name Serratia marcescens. RNAcentral's name for it is "RtT sRNA". It matches the Rfam family "RtT RNA". Rfam says of the family: This family represents a bacterial cis-regulatory element known as RtT RNA. The exact function of RtT is unknown although it is thought that it may be involved in changing the cellular response in relation to amino acid starvation. Lineage: Bacteria; Pseudomonadati; Pseudomonadota; Gammaproteobacteria; Enterobacterales; Yersiniaceae. The record is from RNAcentral.